RNAcentral lists this transfer RNA (73 nucleotides) under Chloroflexota bacterium. RNAcentral describes it as "Chloroflexi bacterium (groundwater metagenome) tRNA-Trp". It matches the Rfam family "tRNA". Rfam says of the family: Transfer RNA (tRNA) molecules are approximately 80 nucleotides in length. The record is from RNAcentral. Lineage: Bacteria; Bacillati; Chloroflexota.
AGGCCAGUAGCGCAAUUGGCAGCGCACCCGGCUCCAAACAGGGCGGUUGCGUGUUCAAGUCCUGCCUGGCCUG